This 253-nucleotide ribosomal RNA is filed under the name uncultured bacterium. Its description in RNAcentral is "partial 16S ribosomal RNA". It matches the Rfam family "Bacterial small subunit ribosomal RNA", at positions 524 to 776 of the family's 1533-position model. The record is from RNAcentral.
UACGGAGGGGGCUAGCGUUGUUCGGAAUUACUGGGCGUAAAGCGUACGUAGGCGGCUUUGUAAGUUAGAGGUGAAAGCCCGGGGCUCAACUCCGGAACUGCCUUUAAGACUGCAUCGCUAGAACGUCGGAGAGGUGAGUGGAAUUCCGAGUGUAGAGGUGAAAUUCGUAGAUAUUCGGAAGAACACCAGUGGCGAAGGCGACUCACUGGACGACUGUUGACGCUGAGGUACGAAAGCGUGGGGAGCAAACAGG